RNAcentral lists this ribosomal RNA (478 nucleotides) under uncultured bacterium. RNAcentral describes it as "partial 16S ribosomal RNA". It matches the Rfam family "Bacterial small subunit ribosomal RNA", at positions 28 to 507 of the family's 1533-position model. The record is from RNAcentral.
GAUGAACGCUGGCGGCGUGCUUAACACAUGCAAGUCGAACGAGAAGUGGAGACGGAAACCUUCGGGCGGAAGACUUUAUUUCGAGUGGCGGCCGGGUGAGUAACGCGUGGGUAACCUGCCUCAUACAGGGGGAUAACAGUUGGAAACGACUGUUAAUACCGCAUAAGACCACAGCACCGCAUGGUGCGGGGGUAAAAACUCCGGUGGUAUGAGAUGGACCCGCGUUCGAUUAGCCAGUUGGCGGGGUAACGGCCCACCACAGCGACGAUCGAUAGCCGAUCUGAGAGGAUGACCGGCCACAUUGGGACUGAGACACGGCCCAAACUCCUACGGGAGGCAGCAGUGGGGAAUAGUGCACAAUGGGGGGAACCCUGAUGCAGCGACGCCGCGUGAGUGAAGAAGUAUGUCGGUAUGUAAAGCUCUAUCAGCAGGGAAGAAAAUGACGGUACCUGAGUAAGAAGCCCCGGCUAACUACGUG